This 301-nucleotide ribosomal RNA is filed under the name uncultured bacterium. Its description in RNAcentral is "partial 16S ribosomal RNA". It matches the Rfam family "Bacterial small subunit ribosomal RNA", at positions 509 to 807 of the family's 1533-position model. The record is from RNAcentral.
CAGCAGCCGCGGGAAUACGAAGGGUGCAAGCGUUAAUCGGAAUUACUGGGCGUAAAGGGUGCGUAGGCGGUUGUUUAAGUCUGUUGUGAAAUCCCCGGGCUCAACCUGGGAAUUGCAGUGGAUACUGGGUCACUAGAGUGUGGUAGAGGGUAGUGGAAUUUCCGGUGUAGCAGUGAAAUGCGUAGAGAUCGGAAGGAACAUCUGUGGCGAAGGCGACUAUCUGGGCCAACACUGACACUGAGGCACGAAAGCGUGGGGAGCAAACAGGAUUAGAUACCCCGGUAGUCCCUGUCUCUUAUAC